Molecule: ribosomal RNA, 696 nt
Filed under: uncultured bacterium
Lineage: Bacteria
Description: bacterial SSU rRNA
Rfam family: Bacterial small subunit ribosomal RNA
Source: RNAcentral
GGGGAUAACGUUUGGAAACGAACGCUAAUACCGCAUGAUAUUAUUGAGCUGCAUGGCUUGAUAAUCAAAGGAGCAACCCGCUGAAAGAUGGGCUCGCGUCCGAUUAGGUAGUUGGCGGGGCAACGGCCCACCAAGCCGACGAUCGGUAGCCGGACUGAGAGGUUGAACGGCCACAUUGGGACUGAGACACGGCCCAGACUCCUACGGGAGGCAGCAGUGAGGGAUAUUGGUCAAUGGGGGAAACCCUGAACCAGCAACGCCGCGUGAGGGAAGACAGUUUUCGGAUUGUAAACCUCUGUCCUCUGUGAAGAUGAUGACGGUAGCAGAGGAGGAAGCUCCGGCUAACUACGUGCCAGCAGCCGCGGUAAUACGUAGGGAGCAAGCGUUGUCCGGAUUUACUGGGUGUAAAGGGUGCGUAGGCGGCUUUGCAAGUCAGAAGUGAAAUCCAUGGGCUUAACCCAUGAACUGCUUUUGAAACUGCAGAGCUUGAGUGGAGUAGAGGUAGGCGGAAUUCCCGGUGUAGCGGUGAAAUGCGUAGAGAUCGGGAGGAACACCAGUGGCGAAGGCGGCCUGCUGGGCUCUAACUGACGCUGAGGCACGAAAGCGUGGGUAGCAAACAGGAUUAGAUACCCUGGUAGUCCACGCUGUAAACGAUGAUUACUAGGUGUGGGUGGACUGACCCCAUCCGUGCCGGAG